Molecule: RNA transcript, 5375 nt
Organism: Clarias gariepinus (North African catfish)
Lineage: Eukaryota; Metazoa; Chordata; Actinopteri; Siluriformes; Clariidae
Gene: trpc6a
Gene name: transient receptor potential cation channel, subfamily C, member 6a
Exons: 11
Source: RefSeq, a predicted model, not a curated record
CAUAAAUUAGUGGAAAAGGGAGGACUAGGAGAAGGAGAGUUACAAAAUGGAGUGUGUAGUAUGAUUGGUCAGUGUGGAAUUCCAUUGAAGGCAUUUCCCACAGCUGGAUCUGCAGCCCAGAACAAACAAAGCACUUGCUUGGGAAUAGAGAAACUAACUCAUAGACUUCUUCAUCCGCAGUAGGUUUUGCUGCUAAUGGAAAGCAAAUUUUGCUCAGCAAAACCACUGAUGCUUGUUUCCAGGUGAUUUUAGUUCAGUUAGCUAUAAUUGCAAUAUACAUUAGUUUACAUUGACCUAUGAUUGUUGUGGAGAUGGUUCAUAAAAAGUCAAUUUUAAGUAAUUUUAAAGUUAUUUUCUAGAAGGAGUGCAUUUGGGUAAAAAAAGGAAAAAUGUUGAGUCUCAUGUUAAUUUUAGAACAUAAACAGAGGAUUAGCUUAAACAAGCAAAAUUGUUAAAUGCUUUGUUUGUUGCGAAAGGACUGAAGAUGCUGCCACUCUGCCAAAAUUCCUAGAUACUCUGUAUUACCUCAAGUUUUAGACAGAAGCAUAGCAGAGUACUGUAGGAGAAGGUGUUUCGUCCGAGCGUAGUACACAGUCCAUCCGUUACUGCUGGAUGUUUGGAUUAUGAGUCCUGGUGGGUAACCGUGCCUCAUUGCUACAGUUGAAAAAAUGAAUCAAAGGAGACCUGUUUUGGAAGAAAAAAAUAAAUCAGAAUUACACUCAAAUGGAAAGAGGAACCGAAGUAAGGACUGUCUUCUGGUGAAUGCUGAAUUCUGUGAUGACAGUUGUGGCUAUUAUGGACAUCACUAUAGUGACUGCACGCAUCAGAAUUGGCAGAUCAUGGCCAAAAGCAGGAGGCAGGCCACACGUGGGGCAGCCUAUAUGUUCAACGCACAUCCCAAUAGCCUUACACCUGUGGAGGAGCGCUUCCUUGAUGCUGCUGAGUAUGGAAACAUCCCUGUAGUACGGCGAAUGCUUGAGGAGAUUCCUGGGCUGGAUGUGAACUGUGUGGACUACAUGGGCCAGAAUGCCUUACAGCUAGCAGUAGCGAACGAACACCUUGAGGUUACAGAACUUCUGUUAAAGAAGGUUAACUUGUCUCGGAUUGGUGACGCACUCCUUUUAGCUAUAAGCAAAGGCUACAUACGGAUUGUUGAGGCCAUUCUGAGUCACAAGGCUUUUGCUGACUCCAGAAGAUUAACCGCCAGCCCAAGAGAGGCAGCAAUGCAUGAUGACUUCUUUGCAUAUGACGAAGACGGGUCUCGCUUUUCUCAUGACAUCACGCCAAUCACCUUGGCAUCACACUGCCAUGAGUAUGAGAUUGUCCACAUCCUUCUGGGCAAAGGGGCACGAAUCGAUCAACCCCAUGACUAUUUCUGUACCUGUGAUACCUGCAACUACCAUCAGAAAUAUGAUUCCUUCAGUCACUCACGUUCACGUAUCAAUGCCUACAGAGGCCUGGCCAGUCCAGCCUACCUCUCGCUGUCCAAUGAGGAUCCAGUGCUGGCUGCUCUAGAGCUCAGCAAUGAACUUGCCUGUUUGGCCAAUAUUGAAAAGGAGUUCAAGAAUGAUUAUAGGAAACUCUCUAUGCAAUGCAAAAGCUUUGUAGUUGGACUUCUAGAUCUGUGUCGGAGCACAGAGGAAGUGGAAGCCAUUUUGAACGGCGAAGUAGAUGAGAGUGCUGAACUACCUGGCCGACCAAGUCUCACUCGACUGAAUCUUGCAAUAAAGUAUGAACUUAAAAAGUUUGUUGCACAUCCUAAUUGCCAGCAGCAACUUCUCUCAAUUUGGUAUGAGAAUCUGCCUGGAUUGAGACAGCAGACCAUGGCCAUCAAGUUGUUGGUGGUCCUUGGUGUUGCGAUAGGACUGCCCUUCUUAUCCAUGGUGUACUGGGUAGCACCGUGUAGUAAGCUGGGAAAAAUAAUGCGAGGCCCUUUUAUGAAGUUUGUGGCUCACGGAGCAUCUUUCACUAUUUUCCUUGGCUUGUUAGUGUUUAAUGCAGCUGAUCGCUUCGAUGGGAGCAAACUGCUGCCAAAUAUGACCGUCCAUGACCAUCCAGCACAGCUGUUUCGCAUGAAAACAACUACCUUCACAUGGAUGGAGAUGCUCAUCAUCUUCUGGGUAAUAGGGAUGAUCUGGGCUGAAUGCAAAGAGAUCUGGUCUCAGGGUCCGAGAGAGUACCUCUUUGAACCUUGGAAUAUGCUGGAUUUUGGAAUGUUAGCGAUUUUUAUAGCUUCCAUUGUCACAAGGAUGCUGGCGUACUGGCAUGCAUCUAUAGCACAAAGUUAUGUUGAUAAACACUACACAGAUAUAACAAAUGUAACUUUACCACCAGAGGUUGAAUACUUCAGACUGGCUCGUCUAUACUGGGUGCCAUCAGAUCCACAGCUCAUUUCUGAAGGACUGUAUGCCAUUGCAGUGGUUUUGAGUUUCUCUCGAAUCGCAUAUAUCCUUCCAGCCAAUGAGAGCUUUGGACCACUGCAAAUCUCUUUGGGAAGGACUGUUAAAGACAUUUUCAAAUUCAUGGUGAUUUUUAUUCUGGUAUUUCUGGCCUUCAUGAUCGGAAUGUUCAACCUGUACUCAUAUUAUUUGGGGGCUAAACAGAAUGAUGCAUUUACAACCAUAGAAGAAAGCUUCAAAACACUGUUUUGGGCCAUUUUUGGACUCUCUGAGGUCAAGUCAGUGAUUGUGAACAACGGACACAUAUUCAUUGAGAACACCGGUUAUGUGCUCUAUGGAGUGUAUAACGUCACUAUGGUCAUUGUGUUGCUCAAUAUGCUCAUUGCAAUGAUCAACAGCUCCUUUCAGGAGAUUGAGGAUGAUGCAGAUGUGGAGUGGAAAUUUGCCCGAGCCAAACUCUGGUAUUCUUACUUUGAGGAGGGCAGGACCCUCCCUGUACCAUUUAAUCUGGUGCCGAGCCCAAAGUCUGCGCACAGGCUGGGCCUGGGUGUAAAGUCACUUCUGGUGAAACUCUUCCACAAACAUGGAGCCAUUAUGAAGAACGAGGCAGAACUCAUUAGGGCGGAACAAAACCAACAAAAUGACAGGUCAUCGAUAUCAGGUAUGACUAUCAUUGGAAAAUUCUUAAAUCAAGCCUUGCAGAGCACAGUGAUGUACAGCUUAAUGCUUUCUUACGUAGAUCACUAGACAUCAUAAAAUUUAAACAGCUUCCAUUUCCUUUAAAUAUAGCCAAGUGAUGGUCAGUGACUGUCAAGAGUCUUUGUACUGUAACUAACACUGUGUUUAUAGAUUAUAGUAAGUCACACUGUUUCCUAAACCACAUCAACCUAUUUAAACCUAUUCCAAAAAUACUGGAAUGUCUCAAAAUAUUAACAUAUACUUGUACCUAUUAUUUUAUGCUAAUCAAGGCACGCAAUCAUGCAGAUUCAGGUCAAAUUAUUGUUCAAAUAAAACAUUAGAAUGUGGACAAAUCUUAUAAAGUGACUUUGGCAAUGGCUUGGUUGUCUGGUACAGACACGGUAGUUUGAGUAUUUAAACCUUAAAUUAAUGCUUUAAUGGGGUGAUCAACAGCAGAAAACAGUGUCUAUUAUGACACUUCUUUUAGGAAAACAUCCUGUCCUGGUCAGAGGAAUUAAGUAAUUCCGAGAUUCUACAUCUGAUUCCUGAGUCAAUUUAACAGACUCUUCAGGAAUCAGAUGUAUAAUCUUGGAAUUUCUUAAUUGAGCUCUUUUCAAAUACAAUGUAUAUACAAAGUACAAUGCAGUUAUGGUAGGUUUCUUCAUUCUUAAAGAACUAUGAGAUAACCAUCAGUAUUUCCACAGUUUCAAGGGGUUAAGUGUGUACUGCACACUUGAAAGGACGCCAUUUUGUCUCAGAGCUGUAUUGGACUGUAAACUGGGUCUCGUUGAGGAUUUUCUAAAAUUAUGAUUAUUCAUCAUCAGGACAGCUAUUUUCUAUCAUCAUGCUCCCAGACCGAUUCAUUAAAAUCAAUGAGGCAGACUCAUUUUUCCUACAAACUUAUUUCUCCUGCACCCCCACACGCACACAUACAAUAUACCAGACCUUUAAAACAAUGUGUACGUUCACUUUCUCAACAAAACAAAGUUCACAGUCCAAGAAAGAGGAAAUCUUUGACACAAUGGGGUUCGAGAUUCCCCUUGCAAACUUAGUUUAGCAGUUACUUAGCAGUAAAGUCAACAUCUGUGCGUGUAUAUGUGUGUGUGUAACCUUGCAUGUGUAUGUGUGUUAAAGUCGUCCUACACUGUAACCCCCCUCCUCUCCCUCUCUACGUAGUUGAGGGUCAUUCUUUUCAAAGGUAAAGUGCAGGUUAUUGAGUUUUAUUACUUUAUCAUUUUUAUAUGAAUAUCUUUUAAAAUAAUUUUUACGUGAAAAUUUUUGGGUUGUGAAACGAAUCAUGGGGAAAUUUGCUCUGAAACAAAAUGCCGUUCAGGAUUCCCCUUGUGAUUUAAAGCCACAGAGACAAGAUUUCACAUUGAGAUUUAUUUCCUUAGGCGCAGUUAAGAUUUUUGGCCACAUACAGUAAAAGCAGUGUUGGGUAAGAGGACAGAUAUAAUCAAGUGGAUUGGUAUGCUUUGCAUUGUAUAUUUGUGUCAAAGGCGUAUAAGAUUCUUUCUGACUUACAAACAAAUCCUAUUACGAAUGUGCUUCUGGAAUGUGCUUCUGGAACUGAACUUGUUCAUAAGAAGGGGACAACUUGCUGUAUAAUUGUAAAUAUUGUAUAUUGCAGCAGGUGCGCUGCAGUAUGUUUUGUACAAUACAUAUGAGCUACUUUGCAUCUAGGAAAGUCCAUUGUUCUUAAAUCGGGGACAUACUGCAUUUUUGAAGGAAAAUGAAAAGAAGAAAUAACAUUACAGCACUAAGAAUCAUGUGGUAUAAGAUACAUGCGCUGUGUGUAGGAAGCACUUUAGCACAUUCCUUUUGGACCAUGGUUUGUGGUGUUGUCUCCAUAUGUCGGCAUCUUGUACCAAGACAAAUUCCUUGUAAUGUACAGACAAGUAUGCCUUGGUAAAAACAAGAUAAUUCCUCAAACUAGUCCAUGUGGCACCAACAACCAUCAUGCAGUCAAAGUCACGGAUGUUAAUGGUAGGUGUGUAUGCAAAAUUAGGAGCUGAAACGCAAAGAUUAAAUGCAGAGAAAGCUCUGUUGUGCUGAUCCUGCUGAAAUGGAUUUUAUUUUAUAUUACAGUAUACUGUAUGUGAUAUGACAGUGCAUGUGUGGUUAAAAUAACUUUCAUUUUAAAUUUACACAGAAGAUAAUGAAGCGCCUAAUCAAGCGGUACAUCAUCAAAGCUCAAAUGGACAAAGAAUUUGAUGAAGUCAAUGAAGGUGAACUGAAAGAAAUAAAGCAAGAUAUUUCCAGUUUGCGCUACGAGCUUCUUGAAGAAAAGUCGCACAA